RNAcentral lists this ribosomal RNA (497 nucleotides) under uncultured bacterium. RNAcentral's name for it is "partial 16S ribosomal RNA". It matches the Rfam family "Bacterial small subunit ribosomal RNA", at positions 28 to 507 of the family's 1533-position model. The record is from RNAcentral.
GAUGAACGCUGGCGGCGUGCCUAAUACAUGCAAGUCGAGCGAACGGACGAUGAGCUUGUUUUUCUGAUGUUAGCGGCGGCCGGGUGAGUAACACGUGGAUAACCUACCUAUAAGACUGGGAUAACUUCGGGAAACCGGAGCUAAUACCGGAUAAUAUUUUGAACCGCAUGGUUCAAAAGUGAAAGACGGUAUUGCUGUCACUUAUAGAUGGAUCUGCGCUGCAUUAGCUAGUUGGUAAGGUAACGGCUUACCAAGGCAACGAUGCAUAGACGACCUGAGAGGGGGGUAGGCCACACUGGAACUGAACCACGGUCCAGACUACUACGAGAGGCAGCAGUAGGGAAUCUUCCGCAAUGGGCGAAAGCCUGACGGAGCAACGCCACGUGAGGGAUGGAGGUCUUCGGAUCGUAAAACUCUGUUAUUAGUGAAGAACAUAUGUGUAAGUAACUGUGCACAGCUUGACGGUACCUAAUCAGAAAGCCACGGCUAACUACGUG